Molecule: ribosomal RNA, 207 nt
Filed under: uncultured bacterium
Lineage: Bacteria
Description: partial 16S ribosomal RNA
Rfam family: Bacterial small subunit ribosomal RNA
Source: RNAcentral
UACGUAGGCGGCUAUUCAAGUCAGAGGUGAAAGCCCGGGGCUCAACCCCGGAACUGCCUUUGAAACUAGAUAGCUAGAGUCUUGGAGAGGUUAGUGGAAUUCCGAGUGUAGAGGUGAAAUUCGUAGAUAUUCGGAAGAACACCAGUGGCGAAGGCGACUAACUGGACAAGUACUGACGCUGAGGUACGAAAGCGUGGGGAGCAAACA